UAGUGCUGGUUUUCUUCUUAUAGAUCUGGAUUUGAAGAUGUUUGCAGGUUUCAUUAAAGCCACACAUGCAUAUGGCCUCUAUGGGUAUCCACAUAGGGUUGAAGUAAAUCAGAAGUGCCAGAGAUCAUCGAGGUACUAGCUCUCUUUUAGAUCUCCACUUCUCUGAUUUCGAUCUGAUCUCCUUCUUCAACUUAACAGUCAUAGAAGAGGAUCCAAAGAUGAAUCUACGCACAAACUCUUUUCGCAUAGGAUCAGAGG
Molecule: long non-coding RNA, 258 nt
Filed under: Elaeis guineensis (African oil palm)
Lineage: Eukaryota; Viridiplantae; Streptophyta; Magnoliopsida; Arecales; Arecaceae
Description: long non-coding RNA (EGUI_LNC064359)
Source: RNAcentral